Molecule: long non-coding RNA, 879 nt
Filed under: Homo sapiens (human)
Lineage: Eukaryota; Metazoa; Chordata; Mammalia; Primates; Hominidae
Description: non-protein coding lnc-PCBP1-5:1
Source: RNAcentral
UGUGAAUGUGCUUAAUGCCAUGUACACUUAGAUGGCUGAGAUGGUAAACUUUAUGUUAUGUGUAUUUCACUACAAUUGAAAAAAAACAAGACUGCCAGGCACGAUGUCUCACGCCUAUAAUCCCAGCAUUUUGGGAAGCCAAGACAGGAAGAUCACUUGAGGCCAAGAAUUCAAGACCAGCCUGGGCAACAACAGCAAAAAAAUCUUACAAUUAGUUAGCCAUGGUGGUGCAUGCCUGUGGUCCCAGCUACUCGGGAGGCUGAGGCAGGAAGAUCGCUUGAACCCAGGAGGUUGAGGCUGCAGUGAGUAGCGUUCGUGCCACUGCACCCCAGCCAGGGCGACAGAGUGAGACCCUGUCUCAAAAAAACAAACAAAAAACUCAAGACUUUCCUGGAUGUGUAGUUGCUACCACCAUGCCCCUGGCCCUUCUGUAGAGGGGGCUUUUAAAGAGAUAAAACAAACAAAAAUCUCAAGUAGGAGAAGUAUUGAAACCUUUGAUUCCUAGAGAAGAUGGAGAAAGAAAGGAUUCCUGGUUUAACAAAAUGUUAAAUGUAGUGAAAUUUAAAGUACCCUAAUAUCACCAAUGCCCAGAAGCCUCAGCCAUCUGUCACACUGAGGGCUAGGAAAUGAGCAAAAAUGCCUCUGUGGGACCACAAGAAAUAUCAUUAGACUAAUCAAAGAACCAAUUUUAUGAAGUAGAUGAUCCCAAUUUUUAAAACUGUAAAGAAAGCAUUUACGUUUUUGUUUUUGUUUUAUAAAGACAGGGUCUCGCUGGGUGCAGUGGCUCACUCCUGUAAUCCCAGCACUUUGGGAGGCCAAGGUGGGUGAACCACAAGCUCAGGAGGUCGAGACCAUCUUGUCCAACAUGGUGAAACCCCG